GGGCCCGCACAAGCAGUGGAGUAUGUGGUUUAAUUCGAAGCAACGCGAAGAACCUUACCAGGUCUUGACAUCCAACUAACGAAGCAGAGAUGCAUUAGGUGCCCUUCGGGGAAAGUUGAGACAGGUGGUGCAUGGUUGUCGUCAGCUCGUGUCGUGAGAUGUUGGGUUAAGUCCCGCAACGAGCGCAACCCUUGUCAUUAGUUGCUACGCAAGAGCACUCUAAUGAGACUGCCGUUGACAAAACGGAGGAAGGUGGGGACGACGUCAAAUCAUCAUGCCCCUUAUGACCUGGGCUACACACGUACUACAAUGGCCGUUAACAGAGGGAAGCAAGACCGCGAGGUGGAGCAAAACCCUAAAACGGUCUCAGUUCAGAUUGCAGGCUGCAACUCGCCUGCAUGAAGGUGGGAUUGCUAGUAAUCGCGGAUCAUAAUGCCGCGGUGAAUACGUUCCCGGGCCUUGUACACACCGCCCGUCACACCAUGGGAGCCGGUAA
This 496-nucleotide ribosomal RNA is filed under the name uncultured Ruminococcus sp. RNAcentral describes it as "bacterial SSU rRNA". It matches the Rfam family "Bacterial small subunit ribosomal RNA", at positions 917 to 1417 of the family's 1533-position model. Lineage: Bacteria; Bacillati; Bacillota; Clostridia; Eubacteriales; Oscillospiraceae. The record is from RNAcentral.